This 869-nucleotide unclassified non-coding RNA is filed under the name Aspidothelium fugiens. RNAcentral describes it as "partial 18S small subunit ribosomal RNA". It matches the Rfam family "Eukaryotic small subunit ribosomal RNA", at positions 202 to 757 of the family's 1831-position model. The record is from RNAcentral. Lineage: Eukaryota; Fungi; Ascomycota; Lecanoromycetes; Thelenellaceae.
UGUAUUUAUUAGAUAAAAAACCAACGCCCUCCGGGGCCCCUUGGUGAUUCAUGAUAACUCAACGAAUCGCAUGGCCUUGCGCCGGCGAUGGUUCAUUCAAACUUCUGCCCUAUCAACUUUCGAUGUUAGAGUAGUGGUCUAACAUGGUGUCAACGGGUAACGGGGAAUUAGGGUUCGAUUCCGGAGAAGGAGCCUGAGAAACGGUGAGUCCCGGAGUCCCGGCCGCCGAUCGACCGCUAACGUACCUAGGCUACUACAUCCAAGGAAGGCAGCAGGCGCGCAAAUUACCCAAUCCCGACUCGGGGAGGUAGUACGUAGCCCCUAUUCUUAGGCGGUAGUGACCCCGCUAACGUGACUUAGGUGACAAUAAAUACUGAUACAGGGCUCUUAUGGGUCUUGUAAUUGGAAUGAGUACAAUCUAAAUCCCUUAACGAGGAACAAUUGGAGGGCAAGUCUGGUGAAGACAGCUGUGGGCACCAGAGAUUGGGGGCCUCCGGGCCCCUCAGUCGCGCACGCCGCGGCGAGGUGUUUGGUACGGGGAAAGACCGCGGGCCGCCGCCCGCGUCAAUCCCGCGACGAGCCGGGUGCCGUCGUAACGCACGCCAACAUGCCGGUCACCCGCCCCCGGGGGGUGACUCGAGGGACGUGCUACCGUCGCUCCGCAGGGGGCGCCUACCAGUGGCCAGCAGCCGCGGUAAUUCCAGCUCCAAUAGCGUAUAUUAAAGUUGUUGCGGUUAAAAAGCUCGUAGUUGAACUUUGGGCCUGGCUGGCCGGUCCGCCUCACCGCGUGCACUGGUUCGGCCGGGCCUUUCCUCCUGGGGAACGGCAUGCCCUUCACUGGGCGUGUUCGGGAACCAGGACUUUUACUU